This 466-nucleotide ribosomal RNA is filed under the name Priestia aryabhattai. RNAcentral describes it as "bacterial SSU rRNA". It matches the Rfam family "Bacterial small subunit ribosomal RNA", at positions 80 to 532 of the family's 1533-position model. The record is from RNAcentral. Lineage: Bacteria; Bacillati; Bacillota; Bacilli; Caryophanales; Bacillaceae.
GCUUCUAUGACGUUAGCGGCGGACGGGUGAGUAACACGUGGGCAACCUGCCUGUAAGACUGGGAUAACUUCGGGAAACCGAAGCUAAUACCGGAUAGGAUCUUCUCCUUCAUGGGAGAUGAUUGAAAGAUGGUUUCGGCUAUCACUUACAGAUGGGCCCGCGGUGCAUUAGCUAGUUGGUGAGGUAACGGCUCACCAAGGCAACGAUGCAUAGCCGACCUGAGAGGGUGAUCGGCCACACUGGGACUGAGACACGGCCCAGACUCCUACGGGAGGCAGCAGUAGGGAAUCUUCCGCAAUGGACGAAAGUCUGACGGAGCAACGCCGCGUGAGUGAUGAAGGCUUUCGGGUCGUAAAACUCUGUUGUUAGGGAAGAACAAGUACGAGAGUAACUGCUCGUACCUUGACGGUACCUAACCAGAAAGCCACGGCUAACUACGUGCCAGCAGCCGCGGUAAUACGUAGGU